AGUGAACGCUGGCGGUAGGCCUAACACAUGCAAGUCGAACGGCAGCACAGUAAGAGCUUGCUCUUACGGGUGGCGAGUGGCGGACGGGUGAGGAAUACAUCGGAAUCUACUUUUUCGUGGGGGAUAACGUAGGGAAACUUACGCUAAUACCGCAUACGACCUACGGGUGAAAGCAGGGGAUCUUCGGACCUUGCGCGAUUGAAUGAGCCGAUGUCGGAUUAGCUAGUUGGCGGGGAAAAGGCCCACCAAGGCGACGAUCCGUAGCUGGUCUGAGAGGAUGAUCAGCCACACUGCAACUGCGACACGGUCCAUACUCCUACGGUAGGCAGCAGUGGGGAAUAUUGGACAAUGGGCGCAAGCCUGAUCCAUCCAUACCGCGUGGGUGAAGAAGGCCUUCGGGUUGUAAAGCCCUUUUGUUGGGAAAGAAAAGCAGCAGGUUAAUACCCCGCUGUUCUGACGGUACCCAAAGAAUAAGCACCGGCUAACUUCGUG
This 492-nucleotide ribosomal RNA is filed under the name uncultured bacterium. Its description in RNAcentral is "partial 16S ribosomal RNA". It matches the Rfam family "Bacterial small subunit ribosomal RNA", at positions 29 to 507 of the family's 1533-position model. The record is from RNAcentral.